GUGUCAGCAGCCGCGGUAAUACGUAGGGUGCGAGCGUUAAUCGGAAUUACUGGGCGUAAAGCGUGCGCAGGCGGUUGUGCAAGACAGGUGUGAAAUCCCCGGGCUUAACCUGGGAACUGCACUUGUGACUGCACGGCUAGAGUACGGUAGAGGGGGAUGGAAUUCCGCGUGUAGCAGUGAAAUGCGUAGAUAUGCGGAGGAACACCGAUGGCGAAGGCAAUCCCCUGGACCUGUACUGACGCUCAUGCACGAAAGCGUGGGGAGCAAACAGGAUUAGAAACCCUCGUAGUCC
This 292-nucleotide ribosomal RNA is filed under the name uncultured Aquabacterium sp. RNAcentral's name for it is "partial 16S ribosomal RNA". It matches the Rfam family "Bacterial small subunit ribosomal RNA", at positions 505 to 796 of the family's 1533-position model. Lineage: Bacteria; Pseudomonadati; Pseudomonadota; Betaproteobacteria; Burkholderiales; Sphaerotilaceae. The record is from RNAcentral.